ACUAUGUCAGUGUCUUUUUUGUCCUAUAGUUGAUUGGGUUAAGGGGACCUGAAGGAGAGAGGUUUGCGGGCAUUCUAGUCCUCCUCCUUCGUCCCCCAACCUCGAAUAAUCAGACACGGCUUAGCAGCGAGGCCUCUUCAGCUACCAGGUUCUGUCAACCUAGUUAACGCUGUGAGAAACAGGAAAAACGACCUGCACGGGACACUGCUUUGCUAACUUCCAUUGGGGGAACCUCAGAUGCGCCACGCGAACUCGGAGUUGCGAAGCUUCGCAUCGAACGGAGGUCGGCGGCAACAAAAUGCACUUGGGUACCGAACACCUGGGGAGGGCGUCCCGCCGUGUCUGGGGCAACCACACCGAAGGCCGAGCGGCUGAUUCACGGUCCCCGCCAGGCACCGCCGGAGGGGCCCAAGCCGGAGCCGGGAGAGCCGCGGCACCCUGGAGCCCAGCGGGCGGGAGAGCCUCGUCCCAUCCCUCCGGGAUUCCUCCCAGAGGGAAGAAAGCGUCCGAGGGCCACGGCGGCCAGCCCGCCCAGCCUCAGGGUCUCGGGGAGCCGGGUCCUGGCCCGUUCUUCAGCGUUGGGGGCGCGCGGCCGCCCCCAGGGAGUCGCGGACCCACGUCAGUCUCUCCGUCGGUCCGUCCGUCGGGGCGCCUGGCGCGCAGCAGCGCGAGGGGCCACGGGCCUCGGAACUCGAAGGAGGCGGGACGAUGGGACGGGGGAUCUGGGCUCAGGUGGGACAGGAGCAGGGGUGCGGGGUCUUUACCGUCCGGCUCCGCGGGCCACCACCGCCUUUCCGCGCGGCUAGGGUUCCUCCACUAUUGUUUCCGGCCGCAGCAGAGGCGGCCGCCGCGCGCCUGGCCCCGCCCUCUCCCGCCGGCGCCAUCCCGUGAAGGCUGCGGGGAGGGUAGCGCGGCCGCGGGCACACCUGCGCGCUCGCAGGGCUGCUACGGGCCCGCCCCUCCGCUCCUGCACCGACGCCGCACCUUCGCCUCGAGUUCUCCUGUGAUUUUCCGUGUGUCUUGGCCGGAGUUUCUUACCGUUCUCUGGAACGUAGCUCCUCACACCCCCCUCGUCGAGUGUCCUAGAAUUCAUGUUUUCUGGAUGUUGGUUGUCUGCUGCCAAGUGAGAUGUGCCUUUCACCUUCCACCACGAUUAUGAGGCCUCCCUAGCCACAUGGAACUGACAUCAGAACCCUAGGUUCUCUGGUCCUGGGACUCUGAGACUUCCACAGCAAUCCUGCCCAGGCUCUCAGGCCUUUGGACUCAGACUGAGCUACUUCACUGGCUUUCCUGGUUCUCCAGCUUGAAGAUGACAGAUCGUAGGACUUCUCAGCCUCCAUAAACGUGCGAGCCAAUUCCCAUAGCUGCAAGCAGGUCAGUAUCAACCUGAAAUAACAAGACACCCUCUUCUUAAUCAUCUGAGUCAUUGGUAAGCACAGUGGUGGUGUGACAUCAGUUCUGAUUUCUAUGGGAUGGUUCUUGGAAAUGCU
This is a non-coding RNA of Chlorocebus sabaeus (green monkey), 1490 nucleotides long. Lineage: Eukaryota; Metazoa; Chordata; Mammalia; Primates; Cercopithecidae. The record is from RefSeq and is a predicted model, not a curated record.